GGAUGUCAAUAGUUUUGUCGGUUGAAUUGAUGCAUUGGUUACAGCUUCAGUUAUAUACGAAACACCGUCAAUAACUCUUUGAGCAGUAUUCUGAGAUGCCAGUGAAGCAUUAGCCUGAAAUGAAAUGGACGGAGGGUAAGCUGCAUCCUCAGGAUUUUUAUUUCCGUACCAAAACUGUCGACUUCUAUAUAUCUCACCACAGUGUGGACAUUCUAUCACGUAUCCAGACCACGCAUACUUGGCGAAUCCAUACCAGCUUGCAUCACUCUGGGUUAGCGUACGACUAGUGACAACGACUUCACUUCCGUUGCCAUGACACUUUUUACAAAUGUAGACCAAGUUUUCAUACUGAUGCUGGUAACGACAUCUGCAAUACAUUAUAUUGUUAAUUAUUUUGCAUAUUCAGAAUUCAUUUGCAAUCAGGUCAAAAUUAAUCAGUAUUCAUUGUUGUUUUUUGUUCCAUUUUGAAGAGUCCAGCAUUCAAAAAUAUUAGCUAGUACUUCUAUAGGAACCUAUCUAAAUUGAGAUUAUUCAUUAUGAAUUUGAUAUGAUCAGUAAUAACGGAAGUAUUUCAACCUGGAAUCACUAGCAUGGGGUUUGCCUUCACGCAGGUGUCCCAUACUGUUGAUGCAUCUACAAUCACAGCUCAAGCACUUGACAGUGCAAGUAAAGUACUGGUCAGGAAAUAGGAUGUUUGACAAGUUUUCAAUUUCACCAGAAAAUUUAUCAUUGAGUAUUUUAAGAGUGCCAUAGACCAGGUGAGGCCUCCUAGCAGAACGAACAGUCGUAUUAUCCAGCUCAUUUUUAAUGGCCCUCCUCAAGGGUUGAUAAUCUGUUGGCGGAUUUGGCGUUUCGACACCAACAUACUUUAUUGAGCUAAACGCUUCGAUUUCCAACCGCAUCUGAUCAAAA
Molecule: long non-coding RNA, 912 nt
Filed under: Neodiprion pinetum (white pine sawfly)
Lineage: Eukaryota; Metazoa; Arthropoda; Insecta; Hymenoptera; Diprionidae
Description: uncharacterized LOC124221999
Source: RNAcentral